GUACACUCCUGCGGGAGGCAGCAGUGGGGAAUUUUGGACAAUGGGCGAAAGCCUGAUCCAGCCAUGCCGCGUGCAGGAUGAAGGCCUUCGGGUUGUAAACUGCUUUUGUACGGAACGAAACGGCCUUUUCUAAUAAAGAGGGCUAAUGACGGUACCGUAAGAAUAAGCACCGGCUAACUACGUGCCAGCAGCCGCGGUAAUACGUAGGGUGCAAGCGUUAAUCGGAAUUACUGGGCGUAAAGCGUGCGCAGGCGGUUAUGUAAGACAGUUGUGAAAUCCCCGGGCUCAACCUGGGAACUGCAUCUGUGACUGCAUAGCUAGAGUACGGUAGAGGGGGAUGGAAUUCCGCGUGUAGCAGUGAAAUGCGUAGAUAUGCGGAGGAACACCGAUGGCGAAGGCAAUCCCCUGGACCUGUACUGACGCUCAUGCACGAAAGCGUGGGGAGCAAACAGGAUUAGAUACCCUUGUAGUCCCAUGA
This 478-nucleotide ribosomal RNA is filed under the name uncultured organism. RNAcentral's name for it is "partial 16S ribosomal RNA". It matches the Rfam family "Bacterial small subunit ribosomal RNA", at positions 331 to 800 of the family's 1533-position model. The record is from RNAcentral.